GAUGAACGCUGGCGGCGUGCCUAAUACAUGCAAGUCGAGCGAACAGAUGAGGAGCUUGCUCCUCUGACGUUAGCGGCGGACGGGUGAGUAACACGUGGAUAACCUACCUAUAAGACUGGGAUAACUUCGGGAAACCGGAGCUAAUACCGGAUAAUAUAUUGAACCGCAUGGUUCAAUAGUGAAAGACGGUUUUGCUGUUACUCAUACAUCGAUCCGCGCCGCAUUAGCUAGUUGGUAAGGUAACGGCUUACCCAGGCAACGAUGCGUAGCCGACCUGAGAGGGUGAUCGGCCACACGAGAGCUGAGACACGGUCCAGACGCCUACGGGAGGCAGCAGUAGGGAAUCUUCCGCAAUGGGCGAAAGCCUGACGGAGCAACGCCGCGUGAGUGAUGAAGGUCUUCGGAUCGUAAAACUCUGUUAUGAGGGAAGAACAAAUGUGUAAGUAACUAUGCACGUCUUGACGGUACCUAAUCAGAAAGCCACGGCUAACUACGUG
RNAcentral lists this ribosomal RNA (497 nucleotides) under uncultured bacterium. Its description in RNAcentral is "partial 16S ribosomal RNA". It matches the Rfam family "Bacterial small subunit ribosomal RNA", at positions 28 to 507 of the family's 1533-position model. The record is from RNAcentral.